UACGUAGGGGGCAAGCGUUAUCCGGAUUUACUGGGUGUAAAGGGAGCGUAGGCGGGGAUGCAAGUUGGGUGUCAAAACUACCGGCUCAACUGGUAGUCGCACUCAAAACUGCAGCUCUUGAGUGAAGUAGAGGCAGGCGGAAUUCCUAGUGUAGCGGUGAAAUGCGUAGAUAUUAGGAGGAACACCAGUGGCGAAGGCGGCCUGCUGGGCUUUUACUGACGCUGAGGCUCGAAAGUGUGGGGAGCAAACAGG
RNAcentral lists this ribosomal RNA (252 nucleotides) under uncultured bacterium. RNAcentral's name for it is "partial 16S ribosomal RNA". It matches the Rfam family "Bacterial small subunit ribosomal RNA", at positions 524 to 776 of the family's 1533-position model. The record is from RNAcentral.